GCAACUCUUCAGUUCCAAUUGCAAGAACAAUGAUCAUGAACCUGAAACCAAACCAAAGCAAAGCAAAGCAAAGCUAGAAUUUUACUUUACUUUAUAGAUAAAGUCAAACAAUAAUCAAUAAUAAAAUGUGUACUCAAGCUAAAAAUUAAUAUGAUUUAACCCCUACCAUAUCUGUAAGUUUGUUUUGAAUUAAUAAGCAAAUCCAGUAAUUGUAACAUGAAAUAUAGGAUAAUAGUGUUUCUUUAAAGCGUGGAUACCUAGAAAUACUUACAAUAUUGCUAUUGAAAAUGUGAAUGAAUUCAUUAUUUUAACUUUAUGAUUCCCGACAUAUAUUUCAGAGUUAUAUUUAAGAUAGCUUUAUAAUUUAUUUUGCUUGAUUACUCCAACUGAAGACACUCAAAGUAAAAUCAUGUUUCAUAUAUUGAUAAUGUGCUGCUUUUGAUAUCCAUUAAGUCCAAUGCCUACUCAAUAUUCUAAGCAAAUCUCCAUUGAUAUCACACCAAUAGUUUCCAAUCAGGCAGCCAUGACUUGGACAUCGCCAGAAACAAGCCACAAAAAACUGCAUUUUUUGUUGAAGCAGAAUCUUGUAAUAAAUAUGUUUUUAUUCAUAGUAUUGAUUCAAAUCUUAAGUUAUUAGGUGAAAUCCCAAAGAUUUUUUCAAUAUCUGAUGGAAAUAAACCUCACUAAUUUUGUGCGUAAAUUUGAUUAGGAAGAGUGCAUGCAAAGAGUGAACUCCAAACCAUAUCAUCAUAAAGGCUCUAAUAGCAUGCCAAGGACCAGUACCAACUUCCCUAUAAACUUAAACUAAAGAUAAAGGGCCAAGCAUUUAUAUCUAUAUCGCUGACAUGUAACCCAAAAAUGAAAGAUCAAUGAAUGAAUCAAGAUCAAUGAAAUUAGAUAAAACUGUUUAUCUGAUCAGCAUUAGUGUUUCCAAAAUAUUAGCAGAACCAAAGAUUUACAGAAGAUAAGGUGAUUGCGUGACUGGUGACCUAUUUAUGCAAACUAACCUUCUCACAUGCAGCCUUCAAAACAUCCUUUGGCACUACAGACUGAUCAGGUUCUGAGAUGAAACCAAGGAGGAAGCCAAGCAUCUCCCUAGUCUUCAACCAAAGUUGGGCACACUGGCGAGCUAAACUGAGGAAAACCAAGAUGAAGAAAAGCAUCAUGAAAUGUAGAAAAAUCAAGACACCAGGUAAUGAUUAUAGGUUCACAAUUGCAACUUUGGGGUGGACAGCUGCCUUCAUUGCAAAUUCCCUGUGCAUCUGCCCAUCAUCUCAUGCCUUAUUGAAUUGCAAAACAUAUAACAUUUGCAGAUGCCCAUUGAGCUUAUAUAUAACUUAUAGCACAAACGCCAAUCAUAAUAAGAGCUUAUAUAUAAGCUUACAUAAGCUAUUUUUAUAGCAAAAGAUAAAACAAAGAUAAAUUAUUUUCAUAUAUACAGACUAUUUUUAUAAGCUAUAUUGGAGAGCUUGUGAAAAAAACUUAUCCAAAUUGUCCUAAGUUGUUUUCGUAAGUUCUCCCAAAUUAACAGCUGCACAAAACUUAUGUUAGUAGAUAAGCUCAAAUAAGUCAAUCCAAACAAGUCCAUGUUUAUCAAACUAAUCUAAUCCAUCAAUGAGAAAUUUAGCAGUAAAGAUUAUGUAGUAGGAUUUAGGCUAAAGAAAACAGCUUAUGCAAACUUGUGAUGUAGAAUUUAUGCACCCCAUCAGCCAUUCUGGCAUAAUGUGAUAUGUAUCAUGAAUUUUAGAAUAAAGUACAGGCAAGCUGUGGGGAUGAGGUAAAGUAGCCAACUGAUAAUUUUCUUACUUCAUCUUUGGGUUGAAGUGCUGACCAGUAAAUUCAGAAUGUCCUCCAACAGAAUUCUGAAUGCACACAUCAAAUAGUUUGCACUCAAUUCUUCAACAAAAAACAAGUAUUUAAAACUAACAUACUGUAACUGUAACACUGUAACAGCCACUAAAAAAACAUAGCACUUACAGCUCAUGUGAAAACUUUAUAAACUUUAUAUAUAAAACAGUAACUUAAAUUUAUAUUUAAGUGAGCUUUGCCUACCGUAAAAGUAAAAUCUGAUACAGGAUAGCUACUCUCCUUGUAAUUAUGGGGUAUAACAGGUGAAAUAUGGCGACGAUCUAUUUUCAAUGCUGGAUCAGGUUCUGCAUUUUAAUAAUACAGAUGAUCAGUGUAAGAGAUGCAAUACAGUAUAAAUAUCAUAGAGGACUCCAAAGAGUUGGUUUCUUUGUACUAUUCUUCAGUUGAUUCGUUUCUUCCUUAGAGAAUUCCUUUGAAACCUUUAUCAGUGGGCCAAUCAAAUACAAGGAAACACUUUUUUUUGCUGUGCAAAAUCACUUCAUACUGUAGUUGCAAAAUUGCAUUUAGGGACUAAGGGUCCAUCAAAGCACAAUAGAUAAUAGCAUUUAAGGACUAGGGUCAACAACCAGCUUUCAAAUUAAGGCAUCAUCCAACAUUUUUGGGUCACCCUUACAAAAAUCAUGGAACAAAGUCUAUCCAUCCACAUUUUGAAUAAAGAAUUCACAUUGAAAUUGCUUUGCUUUGAAAGCCACCAUCCAACGUUUCCAUUAUGAAUAAAGAAUUCAUAGUGCAUUUUCCUCAAAGGUCAUUGAAGCAUUCAUCCCUUACAAAACUUAUGAAACAUUAGGGACAAGGGUCAUUAAGCUCAUAAUGCAAAAUCACUUUUAAUUGUAGUUGCAGAAUUGAACUUUGGGACUAAGGGUCAUCAAAGCAGAAUAUAUAUCCCUUCAUGCAUUAUUAUGAAUAAAAACUCAUAUUUUUUUUAAUAGAAAAGAGGACACCAAUAGAGACAAUUGCUUGAGUAGCAAUUAUAAGGCAACAACUAGCUUUUUCACAUUCAGGGACUAGAGUCAUUAAGUAAUUUAUCCAACAUUUUCCGGGCAUCAAGUAAGCAUUCAUAAUGCAUUUUCCUCAAAGGUCAUUGAAGCAUUCAUCCCUUACAAAACUUAUGAAACAUUAGGGUCAAGAGUCAUUGAGCUCAUAAUGCAAAACCACUUUUAAUUGCAGUUGCAGAAUUGAACUUAGGGACUAAGGGUCAUCCAAGCAGAAUAUAUAUAUAUCCAUUCAUGCAUUAUUAUGAAUAAAAAUUCAUAUUUUUUUAGUAGAAAAGAGGACACCGAUAGAGACAAUUGCUCGAGUAGCAAUUAUAAGGCAACAACUAGC
This 3192-nucleotide long non-coding RNA is filed under the name Trifolium pratense (red clover). Its description in RNAcentral is "long non-coding RNA (TPRA_LNC005428)". Lineage: Eukaryota; Viridiplantae; Streptophyta; Magnoliopsida; Fabales; Fabaceae. The record is from RNAcentral.